GCACCUAUUUUCUAUGUUUCUAUUGUUCUACCUACUGGCACGAAAUGCAGCAUGUCAGCUAACGUCUGUGGUUUGUUUACAUGGCUGAACGUGCUUAUUCA
Amblyraja radiata (thorny skate) is the source of this 101-nucleotide long non-coding RNA. RefSeq lists it as uncharacterized. Lineage: Eukaryota; Metazoa; Chordata; Chondrichthyes; Rajiformes; Rajidae. The transcript is spliced from 3 exons. The record is from RefSeq and is a predicted model, not a curated record.